GACGAACGCUGGCGGCGUGCUUAACACAUGCAAGUCGAACGGAAAGGCCCUGCUUUUGUGGGGUGCUCGAGUGGCGAACGGGUGAGUAACACGUGAGUAACCUGCCCUUGACUUUGGGAUAACUUCAGGAAACUGGGGCUAAUACAGGAUAGGAGCUCCUGCUGCAUGGUGGGGGUUGGAAAGUUUCGGCGGUUGGGGCUGGACUCGCGGGUUAUCAGCUUGUUGGUGGGGUAGUGGCAUACCAAGGCUUUGACGGGUAGCCGGCCUGAGAGGGUGAACGGGCUCAAUAGUACUAAGAGACGCAGCAGACUGGAAUAUGGGACAAUGGGGGGAAGCAUUACACAGUGGUCCGGAGCCUGUUACAGCAGCGCUGGGUGCGUGAUGACGUCCUUCGGGGUGUGAACCGCAUUCGCCUAUUACGAAGCUUUAGUGACGGUAAUGGGUAAAGAAGCACCGGCUAACUUCGUG
This 468-nucleotide ribosomal RNA is filed under the name uncultured bacterium. Its description in RNAcentral is "partial 16S ribosomal RNA". It matches the Rfam family "Bacterial small subunit ribosomal RNA", at positions 28 to 507 of the family's 1533-position model. The record is from RNAcentral.